UGGGGAAUAUUGCACAAUGGAGGGAACUCUGAUGCAGCGACGCCGCGUGAGUGAUGAAGGAAUUCGUUUCGUAACACUCUGUUCUAUGGGAAGAAAAGGACUGUACCAUAGGAGAAAGCUCCGGCUAAAUACGUGCCAGCAGCCGCGGUAAUACGUAUGGAGCGAGCGUUGUCCGGAAUUAUUGGGCGUAAAGGGUGCGCAGGCGGCUUUACAAGUUGGAUGUGAAAUAUUGUGGCUCAACCACAAACGUGAAUCCAAAACUGCAAAGCUUGAGUUAAGGAGAGGUAAGUGGAAAUCCUGGUGUAGCAGUGGAAUGCGUAGGUAUCAGGAGGAAUACCGGUGGCGAAGGCGACUUCCUGGACUAAAACUGACGCUCAGGCACGAAAGCGUGGGGAGCAAACAGG
This 404-nucleotide ribosomal RNA is filed under the name Fusobacteriota bacterium. RNAcentral's name for it is "Fusobacteria bacterium partial 16S ribosomal RNA". It matches the Rfam family "Bacterial small subunit ribosomal RNA", at positions 355 to 776 of the family's 1533-position model. Lineage: Bacteria; Fusobacteriati; Fusobacteriota. The record is from RNAcentral.